Hydra vulgaris (swiftwater hydra) is the source of this 1090-nucleotide long non-coding RNA. RefSeq lists it as uncharacterized. The record is from RefSeq and is a predicted model, not a curated record. NCBI's taxonomy places the organism in Eukaryota, Metazoa, Cnidaria, Hydrozoa, Anthoathecata, Hydridae.
UAAACAAAUCAAUAAGUUAAACUAGAUCUGCUAUAUCACAUUAUAUUAAGAGUAGUUAAACAAGAUUAAACUAAAAUUCACACAAUAAGUAAUGCUGAAAAUAGUAAAUAUUUUAUAAAUACAACUUUGAAAAUGCAAUACACUUUAGUGAGGAUUGAUGUUGGACAUAAGUCUUGGAGAAUAAAACUGAUAUAGAAAAUUUAUAUCUAGGUAUAUCGAAAGCUUUCCACACAUUUCACAACUAUCUCUAAAAUUAAAAGCUUAUAGAAUAGAUAACAAACUAUACAAUUGGAUUUGAAUGUUACCUAAGAGAUUGGCAUUAGAGUAUCAAUGUUGGUGGUACAUACUCAGAAUGGAUAAUAGUAAAUAGUGGGGUCCCCCAUUAUAUACUUUUAUGAUAUAUAUUAACGAUUUUUCUGAUUUGGUUUUAGAUGUUGUAUCUGUAUUUAUAUAUGAUACUAAGUUAUACAGUUUGCUUUUUGAUAGCUCACCAUGUAUUAAUAUGCAAAAAAGUAUGGACAUUAUAGCAAACUGGGCAAAACUAUGAAAGCUGAGUUUUAAUGUAAAAAAAUGUCAAGUUAUGCCCUUAGGACCAACAAAUACAAAAAUCAUUUAUAUACUCGUCGAUAUCUUGCCUUCAGGCUGCCAUACGUAAAGUCACGCUUGUAAAAGUAACUGAAAGCAGCUGAAAAUAAGAAUUUUUUGAUGAACUUUCUUACUUCGGUUGGAGGAGAUGAGAAAUAACUUACAGCAGCAAUCUUAAUACAGUUAAUGGCCAAUGAAGUCUGUUUUUUAUACUCAAUGUAUGGAAGGAAACAAAAAUGUCCUGCAAGGUCGUUAUAGAUUUGCGUUUAGUCAUUUAUCGUUGUAUUCGUUUAUUUUGAAAUCGCUACUGACAAAAGUAUUAAAGAAAAAAUUGGCAGCUUUCUGGCGACGGCCAUUAAUAAAGAUUACGGAAGAAAAAUAGAACCGUAACUGAGCAACGCCCAAUAUUGAGCAAUGAAAUAAGUAUUGCCAAAAUAAUGAAAGUCGUUGCCCACUAUCUCAUAGUGAGAGUAUAAUACAGUAGUUUAUAUAUAUAUAUAUAUAU